RNAcentral lists this ribosomal RNA (420 nucleotides) under Triticum aestivum (bread wheat). RNAcentral's name for it is "partial small subunit ribosomal RNA". The record is from RNAcentral. Lineage: Eukaryota; Viridiplantae; Streptophyta; Magnoliopsida; Poales; Poaceae.
UCGGCACCGGGGCCCGACGGCCUGCCAGUUGCCUUCUUCCGGAAUUUCUGGAAUGUCCUAAAGCCAGUGAUCAUGCCGAUGUUUCAUGAAUUCUAUAUUGAAACAUUUGACAUGUCACGGAUAAACUUUGGAGUCAUCACCAUGAUCCAUAAAGUAGUUGGGGCGACGGACAUUAGGCACUUCAGGCCAAUCACAGUUAUCAACGUUCUCGAGCGCAUUUUCUCAAAAGUCUGCGCGACUAGAUUAGCACCGGUCGCUGAGCGGCUGGAUCACCCCUUUCAUACGGCAUUUCUGUAGGGACAACGGAUUCAGGACGGGAUCAUGGCCUUUCAUGAGAUUGACCACGAGGUGCGGACGCGCGGAUAUAAGGGUGUCUUUCUCAAGCUGGAUUUUCAAAAAGCCUAUGAUAGGUUGGACUAG